ACCUGUGAGGUGAUUGAGUGUACUGCUGGAUGAUGUAUUCCGUUGAGUAAAUGCAACCUUGAACUGAUCUCUGGCCUCCUCAAGUUAUUACAGACGUCUUUGGUCCUCGGAUGUUUCCAGUUAAUGUUCGAGCGCAUUCAAAAUAAUGACUGCAGGCGCUUGAUACACAGGUUUAGAUUUCUGAGAAACGCGCCUGGAUUGCAGCAGUGAAGCGAGAAGCAGAAUAGCAGAAGCUCUGGGAUAUACAGCGCACAUUUCCAUCCAGGAAAGCCAUCAUCUGUAAUGUCACUGAGUGCUACAGGGAGACAGGACAGUGCCAAACCACAUGUGACCAUAUGAAUGAACACCCAGAUGUGUUUGAG
Onychostoma macrolepis is the source of this 362-nucleotide long non-coding RNA. RefSeq lists it as uncharacterized. The transcript has 3 exons. NCBI's taxonomy places the organism in Eukaryota, Metazoa, Chordata, Actinopteri, Cypriniformes, Cyprinidae. The record is from RefSeq and is a predicted model, not a curated record.